CAGCAGAAACCCUUGGGGAGAACCGCAGCAGGAGCUGCUACCGAUUCUGAAGGGCAUCUCUCCCUGCUUGGUGGAGAAGGAGAUACCAAGUGGAACAAGGCUGGCAUGUAUCCACAGGAGCCUCUGCCUGGCUGGUACUGGAUGGUAAGAGCAGCAAGCAGUUGGUACCGCACUCAUGAUCAUUGCAAUUACCAUUUCACUCUUAAUAAGCACUAACCAUGCCCUACUCCCGGCUGGAUUUGGCUUAGGAUACCAUUUCUGAGCAGCCUCAGCCCUUGUUACAAGCUCCUCCAGGUUCCGCCAGAGCUCCUGUUGAAUGGCCGUGGACACCUGGUUUGGAUGCCUGAAAAAUUUCAAGCCUUGAACAUGAGAUUGAGCUGUGUCCUGCUUCUGCACUGCCAAGCUGCCCGCCUGCACCCCAUCAAACAUUUGAAGGUUCAGACACAGACCAAAAUCCAGAGCCUGAGAGUUCAAACUGAAGUGGAGUCAGUGCUACUGCUGCUGCCUCAUACAGCCCAUUCGCCUGCCUGGGAGAGUUAAUGGCAUCCUCUGCAGUGAUUUUGUGUUUUUGUUUUUUUUUUUUCCCCAAACCUCAUUCCACUGCUAUGAAAUUGUAACUGUGUUAAACAAAAAACAGUGAAGACACAUUAUUUGUAUCUCCUGCUCUCAGUUUCUGCUUUCUCAA
Molecule: non-coding RNA, 685 nt
Organism: Phalacrocorax carbo (great cormorant)
Lineage: Eukaryota; Metazoa; Chordata; Aves; Suliformes; Phalacrocoracidae
Source: RefSeq, a predicted model, not a curated record